AGGACGAACGCUGGCGGCGUGCUUAACACAUGCAAGUCGAACAGUAAGGCCCUUCGGGGUACACGAGUGGCGAACGGGUGAGUAACACGUGGGUGAUCUGCCCUGCACUUCGGGAUAAGCCUGGGAAACUGGGUCUAAUACCGGAUAGGACUCCUGGCUUCAUGGUUGGGGGUGUAAAAGCUUUUGCGGUGUGGGAUGGGCCCGCGGCCUAUCAGCUUGUUGGUGGGGUAAUGGCCUACCAAGGCGACGACGGGUAGCCGGCCUGAGAGGGUGACCGGCCACACUGGGACUGAGAUACGGCCCAGACUCCUACGGGAGGCAGCAGUGGGGAAUAUUGCACAAUGGGCGCAAGCCUGAUGCAGCGACGCCGCGUGAGGGAUGACGGCCUUCGGGUUGUAAACCUCUUUCAAUAGGGACGAAGCGCAAGUGACGGUACCUAUAGAAGAAGGACCGGCCAACUACGUG
This 465-nucleotide ribosomal RNA is filed under the name uncultured bacterium. RNAcentral's name for it is "bacterial SSU rRNA". It matches the Rfam family "Bacterial small subunit ribosomal RNA", at positions 26 to 507 of the family's 1533-position model. The record is from RNAcentral.